Molecule: long non-coding RNA, 595 nt
Filed under: Sorghum bicolor (sorghum)
Lineage: Eukaryota; Viridiplantae; Streptophyta; Magnoliopsida; Poales; Poaceae
Description: long non-coding RNA (SBIC_LNC018693)
Source: RNAcentral
GAGGACUGGGGCCGGCCGGCUGAAAAAGAAAGCUUGUACAAAUAGAAAACAGAGAUACUACGUACCACAAGCAAAGCAAGCAAGCUCUAGCUAGCUAGCUAGGAACGUGACGAUGGAAGGGUAGGUCCAAAUGCACAAAAAAAAGAGCAUUAUUAGGGCCUUGUUUUUAGUUCCGAAAAGUGAAAAAAUUUCGUUACUGUAUCACUUUCGUUUGUUUGUGACAAAUAUUAUCUAAUUAUGGACUAACUAGGAUCAAAAGAUUCGUCUCGUGAUUUACAGCUAAACUGUGUAAUUAGUUUUUAUUUUCGUCUAUAUUUAAUGUUUCAUGCAUGUGCCACAAGAUUCGAUGUAACGAGAAAUCUUGAAAACUUUUUGGUUUUCAGGGUGAACGCCUAGGUGCAAAUGCAAGUUGGCCAGCAGCAGGCAGUACGUGCACAACGUACGUGUCCCAGUCCCAGUCUCUCAGGCCCAGCAGACAGCACGUACAAGGUGAUCUUGGCUAGCGAUCACAGAUGAGAUAGACGAUAAUAAUGCAGGAGACUGCUAUACGAGGUAGAGAAUCUCCAAGCAGGAAACCACGCGCAAGCAAAGCGGG